GCACCUCGAUGUCGGCUCAUCGCAUCCUGGGGCUGGAGCAGGUCCCAAGGGUUUGGCUGUUCGCCAAUUAAAGCGGUACGCGAGCUGGGUUUAGAACGUCGUGAGACAGUUCGGUCCCUAUCCUCUGUGGGCGCAGGAGAAUUGAGGGAGUUCGUCCCUAGUACGAGAGGACCGGGACGAGUAAACCUCUGGUGUGUCAGUUGUCCCGCCAGGGGCAUUGCUGAUUAGCCAAGUUUAUAAGGGAUAAGUGCUGAAAGCAUAUAAGCACGAAGCCCGUCCCAAGAAGAGUUCUCCCAUCCCUCGUGGAGUAAGACCCCAUGUAGAUAACAUGGUUGAUAGGUUAGAGGUGUAAGCACAGCAAUGUGUUUAGCCGACUAAUACUAAUUGGUCGAGGACUUAAUUA
RNAcentral lists this ribosomal RNA (403 nucleotides) under Candidatus Nealsoniibacteriota bacterium. RNAcentral describes it as "bacterial LSU rRNA". It matches the Rfam family "Bacterial large subunit ribosomal RNA", at positions 2521 to 2925 of the family's 2925-position model. The record is from RNAcentral. Lineage: Bacteria; Candidatus Nealsoniibacteriota.